Drosophila guanche is the source of this 778-nucleotide long non-coding RNA. RefSeq lists it as uncharacterized. Lineage: Eukaryota; Metazoa; Arthropoda; Insecta; Diptera; Drosophilidae. The record is from RefSeq and is a predicted model, not a curated record. The transcript has 3 exons.
CGAUCGACAAAACCAGACGCGAUUGUGUUUUCUUGCAAGCCAUAAAUUCAAAGGAAUCUGUGUUGAUCUGUGCUAGUGCCUAGUGAAAACAAUAAUCAACCAAGGACAAAGGUCAGGAGCCCUAUCUUUCUUAGCAGCCUAAGUGCGCAUAAGUGCAUAUACGAGAGGCGUAUCACCGAAGUCAUCCCCAAAUCCACAAGGGGUAUAAUUCGAUUCCCCCCUCUUCUGCUCCGAAACGCCGAGCAUCGAAAACCUCUGACUUGGGUCAACUUUAGUGAGGCGUAGCAUCCCUUAGGAAGCUCAGCGCGUUAGGCGGCGCCUCGGAACCUUUCACCAGCGCCACUGAGACCACCAGUUUGUCGCGCACUUUAGUGCUUAUGUAAGCGGCAGAUCGACAUCAAGCCGGAUGUUCCACAUUUUAGCCCAGUGUCCAGAGCUAGAACAUUGGGCGUGAUUUUGACGGACCUGACUACAGAGGAGCCACUGCCAACAGCAGGACAGAUGUCCGGAGUUAUGCUGUGUUAAUUUGCACAUUUUCUGGGACUAAGUUCAAUAUGCCAUUUUAAGGCCAAUUCUCUGGCGGUUACGUAUAUGUAUAUUCAAGCAUCGGGAAUCAUGAGUGUUUGUAGAAAAGAGUGGAUACCAGCACCUACGUCAUCCUUGAGCUCAACGAUUACGAAAGGAGUAAGGGUAUUAGAAUACCAAAACCAAAAGAAAACUGUGAGUUUGUAAACUUAAAACCAUAUAUGCACAGAGUAUAAACGUAACCUGCGUGUUA